RNAcentral lists this non-coding RNA (30 nucleotides) under Homo sapiens (human). The record is from RNAcentral. Lineage: Eukaryota; Metazoa; Chordata; Mammalia; Primates; Hominidae.
UGCCUGGGAAUCCACUAGCCCUUUCUCUGU